This 490-nucleotide ribosomal RNA is filed under the name uncultured bacterium. RNAcentral describes it as "bacterial SSU rRNA". It matches the Rfam family "Bacterial small subunit ribosomal RNA", at positions 28 to 513 of the family's 1533-position model. The record is from RNAcentral.
GAUGAACGCUAGCGGCAGGCCUAACACAUGCAAGUCGAACGGUAACAUGAGUAGCAAUACUUGAUGACGAGUGGCGCACGGGUGCGUAACGCGUAUGCAACUUACCUCUAACUGGAAGAUAGCCUUCCGAAAGGAAGAAUAAUACUCCAUAAUAUUACGAUGUGGCAUCACAUUGUUCUUAAAGCUUCGGCGGUUAGAGAUAGGCAUGCGUCUGAUUAGUUUGUUGGUGAGGUAACGGCUCACCAAGACUACGAUCAGUAGGGGGCCUGAGAGGGUUAUCCCCCACACUGGUACUGAGACACGGACCAGACUCCUACGGGAGGCAGCAGUGAGGAAUAUUGGUCAAUGGACGAAAGUCUGAACCAGCCAUGCCGCGUGCAGGAUGAAUGCCCUAUGGGUUGUAAACUGCUUUUAUAUAGGAAUAAACCCCCCGACGUGUCGGGGGCUGAAGGUACUAUAAGAAUAAGGACCGGCUAACUCCGUGCCAGCA